Unclassified non-coding RNA from Macaca fascicularis (crab-eating macaque), 148 nucleotides. It matches the Rfam family "Metazoan signal recognition particle RNA". From Rfam's summary of the family: The signal recognition particle (SRP) is a universally conserved ribonucleoprotein. The record is from Ensembl. NCBI's taxonomy places the organism in Eukaryota, Metazoa, Chordata, Mammalia, Primates, Cercopithecidae.
GCCGGGCAUGGUGGUACAUGCCUGUAGUCCCAACUACUCAGGAGGCUGAGAUAGGAGGAUUGCUUGAGCCCAGGAGAUUGAGGCUGCAGUGAGCCAUAAUUGUGCCACUGCACUCCAUCCUGGGCAACAGAGUAAGACCCUAUCUCAA